CCGGCUCGGCGCGUGUCCCCGGGAUGCUCGCGGCUCGUUUCUGCCCGGCCUGGGAGGCCUGUGCGCACUGCAGUACCACGGGGAGUUGUAAAACCCCGUGCCACCCGCCAGUCGCCAAGUCCUCGCCCCCAGGUCUGCGCGGCCCCCACAGGCGGCUAUCAACCAAGCGGCCAAGCCGUCCCCACCCCCUGACCAGUGGCUGGGAAAAGUGGAUCUGGCUGAUGUCGUCAGAGCCCCGGAGCCGGGGCGGGGCGGGGCGGGGCGGCGGCUCCCACGAUCCCAAGGCCGUGCACCUGCCUCCUCCCCCCCCCCCACCACCCCGCGCCCCACCUGAGGGCUUGGGAACAAAGGUGCAUUGUAUAGGGCGCAAUCGGCCUCAUUAUUUCGUUUUCGGGAAUGGGGCCGCGCGGGCCCCCAGCCCAGAACGAAGGUGUGGGGCGGAAGGGGGCAAGCGCCAAGCCCGAGAUGGGCACGAGCUCACCACUAAGGCCCUGUAAGGGGGAAUGGGGGCGGGCCAAAUCCCAGAAGGCGAUCCGUCCCUUCCGACACUCGCGCUAUCCCUGGACCGGCAUUAAAAAAUGGGCAACAUUCUCAGGUAGAGGCGGACGGGCUUUGGAGACCCUCGCCGGCCUCUUGGGGCCAGAGGGCGCGUGCUCCUAUUUCAGUCCCCCCAAAUUGCAAUAAGGCCUCCUACCCGGUACUAACUUAGACAUGAAAGGCGCGACCUCCCUAAAACGGACUCCCAGCAGCGGACCACGUCGCCCCUCCCGCCCCCUCGCGACGCGGCGCAGCCGGGGUCGGAGCGGGGUGAACCCGGCGUGCGCCUCGGCGCGCAGGGGGUUAACAGGAGUUGGCUCUGAGCGGAGAGGCGGGGGUGCGCCCCCAUUGGUGGAAAGUUACCCGGGGGCGUGGCCCGCGAGUCUCCGCACCCCACCCCCAGCCCCGCACCGCCCCCCCCCCCCCACCUCCACUUUGUACCUUUCUCGCCGCGGCAGCGAAGCGGGCCGGGACCGGCCGGACCAGACCAGAGCGGACCCCGGGGGCGAUGCGGCUGCUGCCCCUGCUGCGGACUGUCCUCUGGGCCGCGCUCCUCAGCUCCCCGCUGCGAGGGGGCUCCGGCCUCCGCCACGCCGUCUACUGGAACUCCAGUAACCCCAGGCUGCUCGGAGGAGACGCGGUGGUGGAGCUGGUCCUCAACGACUACCUGGACAUCUUCUGCCCGCAUUAUGACGGGCCAGGGCCCCCGGACGGCCCCGAGACGUUUGCUUUGUACAUGGUGGACCGGCAGGGCUACGAGGCCUGCCAGGCCCAGGGCCCGGGCGCCUUCAAGCGCUGGGAGUGCGCCCUCCCCUUCGCUCCCUUUGGUCCCGUCCGAUUCUCAGAGAAGAUUCAGCGCUUCACGCCCUUCUCCCUUGGCUUCGAGUUCUUGCCUGGAGAAACCUACUACUACAUCUCGGUACCGGCCCCGGAGAGUUCUGGCCGCUGCUUGAAGCUCCAGGUGUCUGUCUGCUGCCAGGAGAGCACGAUUCCUUCCUUCCUCUAUUUGUUCAUUCAUUCACCAAAUCGUGGGCUCCCAGUGCCCUUCUUCCGGCAGGCCACCGCAGCUGGGGGCGUCGGGGGAUUCCCAGCGGUGACGCAGUAGGAGAAGGGCGCCCUGGCUUCCAAGUAGCCAAUUGAAUCCUGGGGCCUGGGGCAUGAGGUCAUCAGCGGUGAUGCCCAUUGGUUCAGGCCUGGACGUGGGGAGGGGGUCCCCAUAGCAACCGACGGUGCGUCCGACCGUAACCCGGAGAGUGGUCGUUGCCGGAGCUCCGGAGGCAGCUUGGGUGGUGUUUGGGUUGGGGGCGGGGAGGCGGAGUGGAGCCCAGACCCCCCCCCCCCCCCCCCAGGUCCCGCAGCCCUGGCCCAACCAAGCUGCUGUCGUUCUGGAGAUCUUUUUCUCACUCAAAGUAAUGGUCAAAUUGAGCAGACAGCCCCACAUCCCAGCCCUGUCGCGCGUCUGUAUCCCGACUUUAUCCCUCAGCAGCUCCGUAAUCUCUCUCUUUCUCCAGUUCCUCACCCCACCCCUCUCCCAGCCGGCGGUGUCCCCUCGGGUGCGAGGGGGCGCAGCCUAGCAAGAGCGGAAAGAGAAGUCCGCCUCUCCCCCUGGACGUCUGCUGACAGAUGGGGAGGGCUGGUCCCUACCGCCUAGCGACUAAACUGACAAAGCAAAUGGUGGGGGAGGUGCCCGGGGCUGGGCGGGGGUCUCCGGGGCCAAGUCACCCACACGCCCAGCAGGGUGCUGGGACUAGGGCCGCCUGCUUGCAGCCAGGGGCGGGCCUGCCCACCUGUCUGGUGCCAGGACAGCUUCCUGCCUCCAAUUAAACGCUAAUGAGGUGUCAUUAACCCUUAGCUUGCCUGCCAGCCCUCAGGUGGAGUUUAGAUUCGUGGUCUCACCCCAAACCGAGGGGCGGAGAGGAGGCCCUU
RNA transcript from Leopardus geoffroyi (Geoffroy's cat), 2463 nucleotides. It is a transcript of the gene named ephrin A4, with no coding region annotated. The transcript has 5 exons. The record is from RefSeq and is a predicted model, not a curated record. Lineage: Eukaryota; Metazoa; Chordata; Mammalia; Carnivora; Felidae.